Molecule: transfer RNA, 74 nt
Filed under: Opitutus sp. ER46
Lineage: Bacteria; Pseudomonadati; Verrucomicrobiota; Opitutia; Opitutales; Opitutaceae
Rfam family: tRNA
About the family: Transfer RNA (tRNA) molecules are approximately 80 nucleotides in length. Their secondary structure includes four short double-helical elements and three loops (D, anti-codon, and T loops).
Source: Rfam by way of RNAcentral
GGACGCCUAGCUCAGUUGGUUAGAGCACCUCGUUUACACCGAGGGGGUCAGGGGUUCGAGUCCCUUGGCGUCCA